CAAUAAGCGUUGAAAGAGCAAGUAAAUGAUUACCACCCAAACGAAUGCAGGGAGGGAAUGCCAUGGACUGAAAGCAUUUCUAUCGUUGGAAUCAUUGAAUUUCACUCUGGAGCUGACACGGGGACCUCAUCAGGCAUGAGUAAUCGUGUUUCCGGAUUUGAAUUCCGUUAUCAAUGAUGAAGUGGGCACUGCAUACGUGUAGUGUCAACAAGGGUGGUACCGCGAAACGUACUUACAAGUCUCGUCCCUUUU
This 252-nucleotide non-coding RNA is filed under the name Pontibacillus marinus. RNAcentral's name for it is "T-box sequence". It matches the Rfam family "T-box leader". From Rfam's summary of the family: Uncharged tRNA acts as the effector for transcription antitermination of genes in the T-box leader family. T-boxes are found upstream of many aminoacyl-tRNA synthetase genes and some amino acid biosynthetic genes usually in Gram-positive bacteria. Lineage: Bacteria; Bacillati; Bacillota; Bacilli; Caryophanales; Bacillaceae. The record is from RNAcentral.